Non-coding RNA from Octopus bimaculoides (California two-spot octopus), 104 nucleotides. The record is from Rfam. Lineage: Eukaryota; Metazoa; Mollusca; Cephalopoda; Octopoda; Octopodidae.
AUAGUUUUGGUAGUAAAUUUAUUUAAAUUGGAACAGUACAAGGAAGAUUGGUGUGGUUCCUGUGAAAGGAUGGCAUGCAAAUUUGUGAAGUGUUCCAUAUUUUC